This 175-nucleotide ribosomal RNA is filed under the name Limnohabitans sp. TS-CS-82. Its description in RNAcentral is "partial 16S ribosomal RNA". It matches the Rfam family "Bacterial small subunit ribosomal RNA", at positions 1 to 170 of the family's 1533-position model. The record is from RNAcentral. Lineage: Bacteria; Pseudomonadati; Pseudomonadota; Betaproteobacteria; Burkholderiales; Comamonadaceae.
AGAUCGAACUAUAGAGUUUGAUCCUGGCUCAGAUUGAACGCUGGCGGAAUGCUUUACACAUGCAAGUCGAACGGCAGCACGGACUUCGGUCUGGUGGCGAGUGGCGAACGGGUGAGUAAUAUAUCGGAACGUGCCCAGUCGUGGGGGAUAACGUAGUGAAAAUUACGCUAAUACC